RNAcentral lists this ribosomal RNA (253 nucleotides) under uncultured bacterium. RNAcentral's name for it is "partial 16S ribosomal RNA". It matches the Rfam family "Bacterial small subunit ribosomal RNA", at positions 524 to 776 of the family's 1533-position model. The record is from RNAcentral.
UACGGAGGGUGCAAGCGUUAUCCGGAUUCACUGGGUUUAAAGGGAGCGUAGGUGGGUUGGUAAGUCAGUGGUGAAAUCUCCGGGCUUAACUCGGAAACUGCCGUUGAUACUAUCAAUCUUGAAUAUUGUGGAGGUAAGCGGAAUAUGUCAUGUAGCGGUGAAAUGCUUAGAUAUGACAUAGAACACCGAUAGCGAAGGCAGCUUGCUACACAAUUAUUGACACUGAGGCUCGAAAGCGUGGGGAGCGAACAGG